CAACCUGAACUCAGUCGUGAUUACCCGCUGAACUUAAGCAUAUCAUUUAGCGGAGGAAAAGAAACUAAAAAGGAUUCCCCUAGUAACGGCGAGUGAAACGGGAAGAGCCCAGCGCCGAAUCGAUCAGUCUUUGGCUGCUUCGAAAUGUGGCGUAUAGGUGUAGUCUUCCAGCAGUGUCGUAUGUCCGAAGUCCUUGCGAUUGAGGCCAUAAACCAGAGAGGGUGCGAGCCCCGUUCUGGAUAGCGGCGCUGUUGGUUCGACUGCUCCUUGGAGUCGGGUUGCUUGAAAGUGCAGCCUAAAGUGGGUGAUAAACUUCAUCUAAGGCUAAAUAUUGACUCGAUUGCGAUAGCGAACAAGUACCGUGAGGGAAAGUUGCAAAGGACUUUGAAGAGAGAGUUCAAGAGAACGUGAAAUCGCUGGAGUGGAACCGGAGACAGUUGAUGUUGCUUGGAGACAAUCUUGGUGGCUGAUCGCUUAGCUGUGAUCGCCGCCGGGUAGUCGUUUCCUAUGCUACGCCGACGGCGUUGGCCGCUCGUUCUGGCCCGACAGUGUUGCCCAUCUCGCAAGAGACGGUGUCUUGUUGUCGGUCGUUGGUUCGUGGUGGCUAGCGUUUAGUUACGCUAGUGUGUGUGACGUCGGUGUGAAAGUCGACGACGUUUCCGACCCGUCUUGAAACACGGAUUACGGAGUGUUUGUCUGCUGCGAGUCAAAGGGUGUAAAAACCUUGCGGCGCAAUGAAAGUGAAGGUUAGUCUCGAACUGACCGACGUGGGAUCCGUGCUCUUCGGAGUGCGGCGCACCACGGCCCUAUGCGUGUCACUUGUGACUGUGUAGAGGUUGAGCAGUAGGCAAGCGACCCGAAAGAUGGUGAACUAUGCCUGAGCAGGAUGAAGCCAGAGGAAACUCUGGUGGAAGUCCGUAUCGGUUC
This 927-nucleotide non-coding RNA is filed under the name Caenorhabditis japonica. RNAcentral's name for it is "Eukaryotic large subunit ribosomal RNA". It matches the Rfam family "Eukaryotic large subunit ribosomal RNA", at positions 1 to 886 of the family's 3401-position model. The record is from Rfam by way of RNAcentral. Lineage: Eukaryota; Metazoa; Nematoda; Chromadorea; Rhabditida; Rhabditidae.